RNAcentral lists this ribosomal RNA (384 nucleotides) under Triticum aestivum (bread wheat). RNAcentral describes it as "partial small subunit ribosomal RNA". Lineage: Eukaryota; Viridiplantae; Streptophyta; Magnoliopsida; Poales; Poaceae. The record is from RNAcentral.
CUCACCAAGAAAAACUUCUACAUUGAGAGUUCCACAUGUGUCCUAUGUGAUGAUGAGCCUAAUGAAUACAUGAAACAUAUCUUCUUCUCAUGCGAUUUUAGCCAAAAAAAUUGGUUAUCUCUGGGCUUUGAAUGGAACACUGUUUUGAACUGCAAUGAUAUGCUUAUUGAAGCUAGAAACAGAAUUCAGAUUCAACGAUUUAAAGAAUGCCUAAUUGCUGGGUGUUGGUCCCUAUGGAAGCACAAAAACAACAUCAUCUUUGACAACAAAGAAAGGGACUUGAGCUACUGUAUCUCCUGCUUCAAGGAACAUUAUGGCACUAUUAUCAAAAGAGUCAAACCUAGUUUAAAGGAGGGUAUGCAAAGUUGGUUAGAUUACUUAUAA